CUAAGCCAUGCGAGUCAACGUAGUAAUACGUGGCAUACGGCUCAGUAACACGUAGUCAACAUACCUAAGAGACGUGGAUAACCUCGGGAAACUGAGGAUAAACCGCGAUAAGUCAUAUUUUCUGGAAUGAUUUAUGGCUGAAAUCUAUAAGGCUCUUGGAUUGGACUGCGGCCGAUCAGGCUGUUGGUGAGGUAAUGGCCCACCAAACCUGUAACCGGUACGGGCUCUGAGAGGAGAAGCCCGGAGAUGGGCACUGAGAAAAGGGCCCAGGCCCUAUGGGGCGCAGCAGGCGCGAAACCUCUGCAAUAGGCGAAAGCUUGACAGGGUUACUCUGAGUGGUUUCCGCAAAGGAAAUCUUUUGGCACCUCUAAAAAUGGUGCAGAAUAAGGGGUGGGCAAGUCUGGUGUCAGCCGCCGCGGUAAUACCAGCACCCCGAGUGGUCGGGACGAUUAUUGGGCCUAAAGCAUCCGUAGCCGGUUCUGCAAGUCUCCCGUUAAAUCCACCUGCUCAACAGAUGGGCUGCGGGAGAUACUACAGAGCUAGGAGGCGGGAGAGGCAAGCGGUACUCAGUGGGUAGGGGUAAAAUCCGUUGAUCCAUUGAAGACCACCAGUGGCGAAGGCGGCUUGCCAGAACGCGCUCGACGGUGAGGGAUGAAAGCUGGGGGAGCAAACCGGAUUAGAUACCCGGGUAGUCCCAGCUGUAAACGAUGCAGACUCGGUGAUGAAUAGACUUAGUGUUUAUUCAGUGCCGCAGGGAAGCCGUUAAGUCUGCCGCCUGGGGAGUACGGUCGCAAGACUGAAACUUAAAGGAAUUGGCGGGGGAGCACCACAAGGGGUGAAGCCUGCGGUUCAAUUGGAGUCAACGCCGGAAAUCUUACCGAGGGCGACAGCAGGAUGAAGGUCAGAUUAAAGGGUUUUACCUAACAAGCCGAGGAGGUGGUGCAUGGCCAWUY
This 953-nucleotide ribosomal RNA is filed under the name uncultured archaeon. RNAcentral describes it as "bacterial SSU rRNA". It matches the Rfam family "Archaeal small subunit ribosomal RNA", at positions 44 to 1003 of the family's 1478-position model. The record is from RNAcentral.